This 435-nucleotide ribosomal RNA is filed under the name uncultured bacterium. RNAcentral describes it as "bacterial SSU rRNA". It matches the Rfam family "Bacterial small subunit ribosomal RNA", at positions 81 to 507 of the family's 1533-position model. The record is from RNAcentral.
CAACCUGGCGGCGAGCGGCGAACGGGUGAGUAACAUAUCGGAACGUACCCCGUCGUGGGGGAUAACACAGCGAAAGCUGUGCUAAUACCGCAUACGACCUGGAGGGUGAAAGGCGGGGGAUCGCAAGACCUCGCGCGAUGGGAGCGGCCGAUAUCGGAUUAGCUUGUUGGUGAGGUAAAGGCUCACCAAGGCGACGAUCCGUAGCUGGUCUGAGAGGACGACCAGCCACACUGGAACUGAGACACGGUCCAGACUCCUACGGGGAGGCAGCAGGUGGGGUAAUUUUGGACAAUGGGGGCAACCCUGAUCCAGCCAUUCCGCGUGAGUGAAAAAGGCCUUCGGGUUGUAAAGCUCUUUCAGCAGGAACGAAACGGUGGCCACUAAUACUGGCUACUAACGACGGUACCUGAAGAAGAAGCACCGGCUAACUACGUG